GAGUGGACUCCUACGGGAGGCAGCAGUGGGGAAUAUUGCACAAUGGGCGCAAGCCUGAUGCAGCGACGCCGCGUGAGGGAUGACGGCCUUCGGGUUGUAAACCUCUGUUAGCAUCGAAGAAGCGAAAGUGACGGUAGGUGCAGAGAAAGCGCCGGCUAACUACGUGCCAGCAGCCGCGGUAAUACGUAGGGCGCGAGCGUUGUCCGGAAUUAUUGGGCGUAAAGAGCUUGUAGGCGGUUGGUCGCGUCUGCUGUGAAAGGCCGGGGCUUAACUCCGGUUUUGCAGUGGGUACGGGCUAACUAGAGUGCAGUAGGGGAGACUGGAAUUCCUGGUGUAGCGGUGGAAUGCACAGAUAUCAGGAGGAACACCGAUGGCGAAGGCAGGUCUCUGGGCUGUAACUGACGCUGAGAAGCGAAAGCAUGGGGAGCGAACAGGAUUAGAUACCCUUGUAGUCCUGAGU
This 460-nucleotide ribosomal RNA is filed under the name uncultured bacterium. Its description in RNAcentral is "bacterial SSU rRNA". It matches the Rfam family "Bacterial small subunit ribosomal RNA", at positions 329 to 800 of the family's 1533-position model. The record is from RNAcentral.